UUGUUAUGAAGCAGAGGAUUCCAUCUACUCCUUAAAAAGUAGGAUGACCCCUUUAAAGUCCUCAAAAUGGUGUUGCUGCAGGUAAUCUUUUUGCAAUCUGGAGGGUUGCCUGUAACUAUGGUUUCAGAAAUACAUCAUCUUUCAGAGAAAGCAACCUCCCUACAGUGCGGCUUUACAGCUGUGAACAGCAGCUAUGCUUUGACUGUUAAACUUUCUUAGAUAUUAUUGAUAGCCAGUGCUUCUCAAGGCAUUAAUAAAACCUGGAGACAAGAAGGAAACACUGAGGCAAAACCUUAUUUGAAUGAACCCCAAAUAAUGGAACUUAUAAAUUAUUAUGGAAACCAUUCUAUUUCUCCCUCAUUGAGAAGCAAGGGAAGAGCAAGCAAUUUGAAAUCUGAGGCCUUCAAAAGCUCCUAGCAAUAAAUGACGGAUUUCUUCUAGCAAAUAAAGGUAGCUGGGUGAUGAUGGGAACAGAACAGAACCAACCUCCUGUGCAAAUGGCUUUUAUACAAGUCGUAACUUAU
RNAcentral lists this long non-coding RNA (524 nucleotides) under Homo sapiens (human). RNAcentral describes it as "HSALNT0127576". The record is from RNAcentral. Lineage: Eukaryota; Metazoa; Chordata; Mammalia; Primates; Hominidae.